AGGUAGUUGGCGGGGUAAAAGCCCACCAAGCCAAAGAUCGAUAGCCGGCCUGAGAGGGCACACGGCCACACUGGCACUGAAACACGGGCCAGACUCCUACGGGAGGCAGCAGUGGGGAAUCUUGCACAAUGGGGGAAACCCUGAUGCAGCGACGCCGCGUGAGCGAUGAAGCCCUUCGGGGUGUAAAGCUCUUUCGGCAGGAACGAUAAUGACGGUACCUGCAGAAGAAGCUGCGGCUAACUACGUGCCAGCAGCCGCGGUAAUACGUAGGCAGCGAGCGUUGUUCGGAAUUACUGGGCGUAAAGAGUGUGUAGGUGGUGUCGUAAGUUUGGUGUGAAAUCUCCCGGCUUAACUGGGAGGGUGCGCCGAAGACUGCGAGGCUGGAGUAUGGGAGAGGAAAGCGGAAUUCCUGGUGUAGCGGUGAAAUGCGUAGAUAUCAGGAGGAACACCUGCGGUGUAGACGGCUUUCUGGACCAUUACUGACACUGAGACACGAAAGCGUGGGUAGCAAACAGGAUUAGAUACCCUGGUAGUCCACGCCCUAAACGAUGCAUACUUGGUGUGAGCCAUUCAGUUGGUUCGUGCCGGAGCUAACGCGUUAAGUAUGCCGCCUGGGGAGUACGGUCGCAAGGCUGAAACUUAAAGGAAUUGACGGAAGGGCACCACCAGGAGUGGUGCCUGCGGCUUAAUUUGACCCAACACGGGGAAACUUACCAGGUCCGGACAUAGUGAGGAUUGACAGAUUGAAGUUCUUUCUUGAUUCUAUGGGUGGUGUGCAUGGCCGUUCUUAGUUGGUGGAGUGAUUUGUCUGGUUAAUUCCGUUAACGAACGAGACCUCGACCUGCUAAAUAGUAUGACGUAGGCUCUGUCUAUGGACAUGACUUCUUAGAGGGACUGUCGGUUUUUAGCCGAAGGAAGUUCGAGGCAAUAACAGGUCUGUGAUGCCCUUAGAUGUUCUGGGCCGCACGCGCGCUACACUGAUACGUGCAUCGAGCUUACAACCUUGGCUGGGAGGCCUGGGUAAUCUUUGAAAAGCGUAUCGUGCUGGGGAUAGAUUAUUGUAAUUAUUAAUCUUCAACGAGGAAUUCCUAGUAAGCGCGAGUCAUCAACUCGCACUGAUUACGUCCCUGCCCUUUGUACACACCGCCCGUCGCUGCUACCGAUUGAAUGCAUUAGUGAGCUUGAGGGAUCGUUUAGCUUGAGGGUCAAACUUCGAGUUAAGUGAGAACUCACGCAAACUUGCGCAUUUAGAGGAUCAAAAGUCGUAACAAGGUUUCCGUAGGUGAACCUGCGGAAG
Molecule: ribosomal RNA, 1297 nt
Filed under: metagenome
Description: bacterial SSU rRNA
Rfam family: Bacterial small subunit ribosomal RNA
Source: RNAcentral